UUCAAAUCUGUAAAGAAUUUUUGUGAGUUUAUUUGAGCCAAACUGUCAAUAAUCACUGGGAAGCAGAAUCUCAAUGGAUUGGGAUAAUGCUCCAGAGAAUGGUGGUUUUCCACCUUGUUUUAUACAAAAUUUGUUGUCUAUAAGAGGCUUU
Molecule: long non-coding RNA, 151 nt
Organism: Pipistrellus kuhlii (Kuhl's pipistrelle)
Lineage: Eukaryota; Metazoa; Chordata; Mammalia; Chiroptera; Vespertilionidae
Exons: 4
Source: RefSeq, a predicted model, not a curated record